This is an RNA transcript of Nicotiana tabacum (common tobacco), 3264 nucleotides long. RefSeq lists it as uncharacterized. The record is from RefSeq and is a predicted model, not a curated record. Lineage: Eukaryota; Viridiplantae; Streptophyta; Magnoliopsida; Solanales; Solanaceae.
AAAUAAUAAGAAAACAUAUUUUCUUUAAUCAAAAGGGAACUGAACGACGGUCUCCAGAAAACACAUUCCUAAUUCCCUUAAUCUUACAUGCUUGCAAUCGAUUUUACAAUUGAUUUUGGGUUGAUGUUGCUCGAUAAUGCUCAAUCUUCGCUGUCAAUCUUCUCCUUUUCAUCCGUCUCCAACUUCUCUUUUCGUGUAGGUUUCAAGAUUGUUGCAAAAAUCAUUCUUCUCCUUCACAUUCUUGUCUUUAUCGGCAAAAUAUUUUGCUUACCAGGUACCAAUUUGUGAUUUUUGAUAUCCAACUAUGGCGUUUUUGGGAUUUGUGAAAGUAUAGGUUUUUAUGUGCUUGCUAAGUCGUUUGUGAUAUCUGGCUGCUGUUAGAUUGAUAGUCGAUUGAUUGAAUUGAUUCCUCUGUUUCUCUAUUAUUUUUGAAUUGGUUCCUCUGUAUGUUUUCUAAGGCUACUACUAUGUUUGUGAUUGUUCAGAAAUUUUCUAAGUGUCGUUGAUGCAUAUUGAUGUUUUAGUUGAAUACCAUUAGUCGAGAUAUGAAUUCAACUAUGUUCAAAAAUUUUGCCCGAGUAUGAUAUAUAUAUAUAUAUACUGCUUUUUAUUCUAUUGUUCGUUGAUGGUUUAGUGUGUUAUUACUGGUUUUUACCUUAUUACAAAGUAGAGUUUUAGCGGCUAAAAGGUUCGCAAAAUAUUUUACCUUAUUAAUGCAUUGAUAAAAUAACCUGACAGGCGGCCAUCGUUUUAAACUUUCCUUGCUCCUGCUUUGCAUACUACUUGCUGAUAUAGUUAGACUUUGUUUAAAACCUCUUUAAGUUAGUGAUAAAAAUUCUUUGGCAUGUUUUAAUAAAAAAAUUGAUUUGGCAUUUUUAACUAAAUAAGCUACAUGCAACUACACUUUUUUCUAAGGAAAUGAUCUUAAAAAAACAACAGAAACACGUCAAUUAUUAAGAGGGAAUGCAAAAAAUGAAAUAAAAUUUUUAAAGGGAAAAAGAAGAAAAAGUUAAAGAGAAAAGACCAAAGCUUGCAUUUUCCCUAAUAAUUGUUGCAUUCAUUUCCUCUCAUUAAGAACCAUUUUACUUUUCCCACUUUCUCCGUAUAUAUCACUUCUAAUCUUCAUUGCAACUAAAACUUGAUAGAGAAUGGAAGUUGCUGAGACACCAAAAGGUUCUCUCUUUUUGUCUCUCUUUAAGUGUAGGUGUUGUAAACUCUAUUAAUAUCAACUUUAUGUAUGUUGUAGCUCUAGAUUUGUUAAUGUAUGUAGGGGCGUUCUUUGAGUGGGGAGACUAAUCAUGUUUUCUUCUCUCAUAUUUUCACUACUUUGGCCAGUUUUUCUUGAUUCUUAUUGAGUUUUGAUUACAUGCAUUUUUUGAUACUGUAACUUACAUACUGGGAAGUCAACUGACGAAAAUUUCUUUUGCUCGUUAGCUUGAUAAUUUAUGGGCAAGACAAAGGUUUGAUUUAAUAAUUGAUACUUUAGUUUCCUGUUAUGCCUUCCUUUUGGGAUCAAAACUUGACAUCUGGUACGACUGAUUUAGUCUAUGGUGUGUUAUGUUAUGGAUUGGGGCCAACUUCUUUUAGGAGGCCUAAGUGUUAUACAUUAUUUUUACGGUUUGCGGCUUCUCAAGAAGGCUAUCCAUCAUUUUCACUGUUUUCUGUAUGAAAAUCUUUGUAAUUGAUGUAUUUCUUUGUGCUUACUAUUAUAAUUUUUUACUUUUAAUAGAUAAACUAACUUAUAUUCCGUUUAGCUUCAGAACUAGUUAAACUGAUGCUUAAUGAACAAAAGAGUUAUAAACAAAUUUGUAAAAAUGGCGUAUAUAUCUGGAGAGUCAACAAAUAGGAGUAGUAAGUUUUAAAUUUUUUAAAAUAUAUGAUAUAUGGUUCUUCUAUAAAUUACAAGUUUAAUAAUUCUAUUCUUAAAAAGUUUAUGAACCAAUAUGUGAAUACCAUAGAAGAAGUAUAAUUUAUAUGUUUAAUAAUUCUAUAAAUAGAUGAUGACCAUCUAGGUAAUUCAGAGCCAAGAAAGGUUUGUGGUCCUACUUUACUAAAAGAUAUUUGAAAACUUCCUCCAGGGACGAUAGUUGAUGUGCCGUUUAAUAAUCGUAACCAAGCAGUCGGGGAAAAGGCCGAAAGCUAGCAUCUAGGAAUUAUUGCGAGAACUUCAAAACUAACACCUCUACAUGCAAAUGAUUGAAGAAAAUUUGACAAUGAGGAAAAGAAGAAAUUGGUGGAUUUUGUGAGGAAUUAUUAUAGCAAGCUCAAUCUUUUAUACAUGAUGUUUUCUUCUAAAUGUUCGCUUUAUUUUAUUAGAAGAAGUUCUCUAUCCCAAAACGAGGAGAAGCUUAUGUCUUAAAGUCACUAGGAAAGAAAUGAAAAGAUUACAAGUGCAAUUUAAAAAGUGAGUAUAUGCGAAAAUAUAAGACUAGAGAUGCUUUGCUGAAAAAUAGACCAAGUCGCAUACCGAGGGAUCAAUGGAGUAGUCUUGUCUCUUAUUGGCUUUCGGAUAAAGCUAAGAGGUGUACCCAAGCAAAUAGAAACAAUGGAGCCAAUCAAAUGAUGUCUCACACAGGAGUAUCCAAAAGUAUUGCCACCUUGAUGGAUGAGUAGGUCCUCGACGCCAACAACGGCCAUGAACGAGUACCACAAACAUCAAGGAUACCUAGUGUUGCUGAAAAUACUUCACUUUCUCACGGAAUUGCUGUUGUUGCAUCAGCUGUUGUUGUUGUUGCUUUUGCUGAGACAUUAUUGCCAUUUGUACGUUCGUUGGAGGUGCUAUGUUGUUUGACAUGGCAAAGGGGUCAUGUUGAUUGAAUGAGUUAUGUGCAAGGAUUUCAUACCCGUAUGCACUAUAGCCAGCAUUUUGCAGCUGUAUUUGCCUCCUAGCUACAUCAUCUUCAUAUAAGCUGUCAAGUAAUAACUUGUUGAAUCCUCCAGCCAAUUUUUUAUCUAGUGUGACUUGGCUCGUAUUAUUGCUCGAUGCAGUAACAAGAGCCAGUUCCCAUCCUGUUGGAUAGUUUGAGCAGGUUUUGAGAUCAAAAAUUGAACUGUUAUUGUACAUUAAAAAAAACUUUGGCUUGAGGCAGUGUUUAUUGAGGUUUAUAGAAGAACUGCAGCUUCUUUUGAAGUGAAAUUCCGCCAAGUCUUGCAUAAAGUUUAUAUGUUUUUUGCUGUUUACAUUGGUGUGAUCAUCUCUGUCUUGUAUUCCUCUUAUAUUUAGUGAUGACUAGUAGAAGAAGAAGAUUUGCUUGCUUAUGCGUA